Alligator mississippiensis (American alligator) is the source of this 743-nucleotide long non-coding RNA. RefSeq lists it as uncharacterized. NCBI's taxonomy places the organism in Eukaryota, Metazoa, Chordata, Crocodylia, Alligatoridae. The record is from RefSeq and is a predicted model, not a curated record. The transcript is spliced from 2 exons.
CCCACCCCCCGGCGGCGCGGGCUGGGCGCGCACGGGCCUGGCAGGCCGCGAGGCAGAGACCGUGGGGCCCCAGAAAGAUGCGCUCAGGUGCCUACAAAGAAACUGUUACUGUAGUGUUAGUCCUGAGGAGGAGGGAAGAUUAAAGGAAGUAGCCCAAAGACUCUGAGACACCUGAACCUGAUCAGGAAGCCCAUGAGAGCACGCAGCAGCAGGCCUUUUGAACCAGAGGCCCAGAUUCACACAGCAGACACAGAGGAUUCGGGAGAAGAGAGGUGCCUUAUGCCAGACCCUGAGUGGGAAGAAGAUGUCAACAAUGGAGCAGAGAUGCUGGUAAGAGGCGUGAAGCAUGGCUGUGGUGGAGGAUACAAUGCUUUUAAACACAGUUCAUUUUACAGAAAAAACUUAUUACUACUCUUUAUGGGUGAUUAGUGAGGAAGAUAGGCCUUUGUUAUCUUAUACUAAACAUUUAAUUGGCACUAGAAAUUAUAAAACCCUGCUUAGAAGAAGGGUUUACCAAAAUUUUUUUAAAUGUAUUUUUACUGGUGUACUUUUGCUUUUUCAGGAGAUUUGGGGGGGGAGGCGGGGGGAGAAUUAGCCCUGUGAGUGUAUUGUAAAGAUAAAACCAGCCAGACUUAGCUGUCAUUAGAAAUUAUGAAAGCCCUUCUUAGGAGAAGGAGGGUUUCGAGGGAAAAAAGCAGUAAAUAUUGUACGGAUUUGAUGGAAAUAAAGACUUAUAAAAUACA